UGGAAGUUGAAACUACUAUUCCUGCUGUUCCUAUUACAUCUGAAGCUGUUUCGGAAUCUACUUCACCAGAUGUAAUCGCUAUUCCAUCAACAUCCAAGGAAGUUACAUCUGAAGAUUUUUCACAACAGACACCUACAUCCCUUAGUGUGGAUAGUCCAAGAAAACAUGGAUUAAGGUUACAAAUUAG
Molecule: long non-coding RNA, 187 nt
Organism: Sitophilus oryzae (rice weevil)
Lineage: Eukaryota; Metazoa; Arthropoda; Insecta; Coleoptera; Curculionidae
Exons: 3
Source: RefSeq, a predicted model, not a curated record